AAGAAAUAGAGAGUUGAACUUUGAGAAUUGCAAAAGUUUGGUUGAACUUCCAGGUGGGGAGUCUUGAAUUCUUACAACGUCUUGCAAUAGCAAACUGCAGUCCUUUGAUUGAAAAUUGGUACCAGGCACGUUGUGAAGGUAAUAAUGUGAAGAUUUGGGUUCAAGUCAUUAGAUAUGUAAGUUCUGUAAGUUGCAGAUCGAAUUCCAACACAUUGGAGGCAGUAUGGGUUUGAAAUGUUGUUCCCUCUCUUGAAUGAUGAUCACAUUAAUGGAGUUGGUGUUAGCGUGAGAAGCAAAAGCAGUGGGGCUUGGAUUGUAAAGGAACCUCCUCAAUAUAUUGGGAUCAAAGAAUAUGAGGAAAUUGAAUUUGAGAUCCCAACAAGGAUUGAAGAAGUAAUGGAGUUGUAUGCACAUUUCCAUGAUGUGCAGAAGAUACUUUGUGUAGUUGAAAUACAUAGAAACAGAUAUGGAGAAGUGAGGUUCUUCCCAUCCAAUAGGGGAUGGAUUGCUGCUGCAUCUUUACCCACUCAUCAACUUCAAUUACGCCUGUUAGAGUAGCACUACUUUUGUUUUGAAAAGACUGAAGGAGUUGUAUAUUCCCAAUUGCAAAAGUUUGGUUGAGCUUCC
Molecule: long non-coding RNA, 627 nt
Organism: Ipomoea nil (Japanese morning glory)
Lineage: Eukaryota; Viridiplantae; Streptophyta; Magnoliopsida; Solanales; Convolvulaceae
Exons: 3
Source: RefSeq, a predicted model, not a curated record